UACGGAAGGCAGCAGUGGGGAAUAUUGCACAAUGGGCGCAAGCCUGAUGCAGCCAUGCCGCGUGUAUGAAAAAGGCCUUCGGGUUGUAAAGUACUUUCAGUCGUGAGGAAGGUGUUAAGGUUAAUAACCUUAGCAAUUGACGUUAGCGACAGAAGAAGCACCGGCUAACUCCGUGCCAGCAGCCGCGGUAAUACGGAGGGUGCGAGCGUUAAUCGGAAUUACUGGGCGUAAAGGGCACGCAGGCGGUUAAUUAAGUUGGAUGUGAAAUCCCCGGGCUUAACCUGGGAAUGGCAUUCAAGACUGGUUAGCUAGAGUCUUGUAGAGGGGGUAGAAUUCCAUGUGUAGCGGUGAAAUGCGUAGAGAUGUGGAGGAAUACCGGUGGCGAAGGCGGCCCCUGGCAAAGGACUGACGCUCA
RNAcentral lists this ribosomal RNA (415 nucleotides) under uncultured bacterium. Its description in RNAcentral is "bacterial SSU rRNA". It matches the Rfam family "Bacterial small subunit ribosomal RNA", at positions 340 to 749 of the family's 1533-position model. The record is from RNAcentral.